Molecule: long non-coding RNA, 540 nt
Filed under: Daphnia pulex (common water flea)
Lineage: Eukaryota; Metazoa; Arthropoda; Branchiopoda; Diplostraca; Daphniidae
Description: uncharacterized LOC124194677, transcript variant X1
Source: RNAcentral
ACAUACCAACAUGUGUUGUAUUUUUCUGAAUGUUAAACACAAGCAGUACUAAGAUUCAACAUGACUAACUGUUUGAUGCCAAAGUUAGUUGGAACUCAACUCACUGUACAUACUCUAACACAGAUAACUGGUGCUGUUGCCUUUCAGCCACUGGCAGGAAAAUUAUUCUUUACUUCAGAAAAUUGGAAAGCUGCUGGAGUAAUCUGGUGUUCAUGCUCAUUUGAUUCAUUUCGUGCCACUUAGUGAAAGCCGAAAGGCAUGUCGAAUUCAAUUGAGCCGUGCUGUCUCGAAGCAAGCAAUCCAGCCGUUGCGUUCAGUCAUUUGGAACAGGAAUCUAAUGGCUGUCAAAAGGUGGCUGACUGGCUGUGAAUAAUGUCCACCAGGUGCGCGAGUGUCUUCAGGGGCGAAUAGCGGCCAUUUUUCCCAAGACGCAGCAGAAAUGGGUUGUUGGUUGUGACGUUCCUCGCGAUGAAAAUUAAAAGGUGAUUCAGCACGUAGAAACCAAUUUGCCAAAUCAUUCAACUCAGACUUGGAAGUGCC